Molecule: unclassified non-coding RNA, 240 nt
Filed under: soil metagenome
Description: partial contains 5.8S ribosomal RNA, internal transcribed spacer 2, and large subunit ribosomal RNA
Source: RNAcentral
AACCAUAGAAACCUGCGGAGUACCUGCGGAGGGAUCAUUAAAAAGAGUGUGUACCCCCCUGUAAAAUGGGUGGGUUACCUCCCGUCCUUUGUUGACCUCUUAGGAGGUUAUUUUGAACUUUUCUGCUUCGGUGGGGUUAAACCUACCGGAACACCCUCAAAUUCUGAUCAUUUAAAAAUUGUUCAGUCCGAUUUUUGUUAAUAAAAACAAAAAACUUUCAGCAAUGGAUCUCAGAUCGGA